This 503-nucleotide ribosomal RNA is filed under the name Scapsipedus sp. MCJ-2002. Its description in RNAcentral is "partial 16S ribosomal RNA". It matches the Rfam family "Bacterial large subunit ribosomal RNA", at positions 1832 to 2600 of the family's 2925-position model. Lineage: Eukaryota; Metazoa; Arthropoda; Insecta; Orthoptera; Gryllidae. The record is from RNAcentral.
GUCUUUCUGAAUAAUGGAAGGUCGUACCUGUUCACUGAAUAUUUAAGAACCGCGGUAUUUUGACCGUGCUAAGGUAGCAUAAUCAUUAGUUUCUUAAUUGGGAACUGGAAUGAAUGGUGUGACAAGACAAUAACUGUCUCUGGAUGAAUUAUUGAAUUUUACUUUUAAGUUAAAAGGCUUAGGUGUGAAUGGGGGACGAGAAGACCCUAUAGAUCUUUAUAAUGAGAAUUGAGUUAUGAAUAUAGAAGAUUAAUUUAUAAUUUAGUUAAUAUUAUUUAAUUGGGGUGAUUAGUGAAUAAUAUAACUUCAUUUCUGUGAACUUUGAUGAAUGAUUUUUUGAUCCUUUAUUAUGGAAUAAAGAUUAAGAUACCUUAGGGAUAACAGCGUUAUUUUAUUUGAGAGUUCUUAUCGACAAUAAAGAUUGCGACCUCGAUGUUGGAUUAAAAGUAUAGGUUGAUGUAGAGGUCAAUUAUAUUGGUCUGUUCGACCAUUAAAUUUUUACA